CCCCCCGUUAUUUUUGUCGCCUUCAUCCUCCUUCCCUCUCUCUCUUUAUUCCAAAUUUAACAUUUCGACCAUUUUUCAUGGGCAGGUGGCUGCGGGGACCAAUACUCUCGGCAUCCCCACCUCAGUUCUCCGCUGUAAGCGCGAUUCUUCCACCGUCAAAGUAGCAGCUCCUCCAAGAAUUGCAGGAGCUCAUAAUCCUGGAAGAUGGUAUUGACGAAUAUAGAUGCCUGCGGCGCCGCACUUUGCCUGUAAAUCGCAUGAUUAGAUUUAUGAAGGGGUGCCUGCCUUAUUUGCUUAACCAUAAUGAAACUCUGAUUUUGUAAUGAUUGGCCAGUCAUCUUCGUUAAAAAAAACUUUUUUAACAAGGGGUUCAGUCCUUUUUUUGUUUUUUGGUUAAUUGUUCAAUAGAGUUAACCUUCCAACUGAUGCUCAAUUUUUUUUUAUCAACAUUUUGAUAUUUGCUAUAUUUAUAGUGGAUCACACAUGCCUUGGGUCUAAGUGUUUACAAUAUUUAAGCCUGGACUUUUGUUUUAGAGAGUUGUACGUAAGUUCUAAAUAAAAAUUUGACUGCUUGUAAGAA
Long non-coding RNA from Prosopis cineraria, 580 nucleotides. RefSeq lists it as uncharacterized. Lineage: Eukaryota; Viridiplantae; Streptophyta; Magnoliopsida; Fabales; Fabaceae. The record is from RefSeq and is a predicted model, not a curated record. The transcript is spliced from 2 exons.